CACGAUUAUUAACGCUGCGUUUGGCAGGAGAGAAAAAAGUGGUGACCUUCCAUCGUUGCCCCUGCAUGCAUGCGCUAGGAAGUCAUUUAGAGCAAGAACAAUAGCACAGCCGGCUGCCGGCUCUAUACUAGUGCCAUGUCAUUUAAAGUCAUCUUAGAGCCAAAGCCAUACAACAUGCUAGUUGUAGACGGGCUGUAAGAUUGUUCAUUUUAAACAUUUAAGUACUUGAUGCUUGCAUGCUAUUGGAUACAAGGCUGCAUGCAACUACUUUUUCUUGAACCAUGUGCUAUAGCUCGGCUGUAGAAGAAGAGCCGGCUUUGCUCUCUUUCUCCCUUUCUCUCUCUUCCACAUUGGAUUUUGAUGACAUGGCAGAUGUUAUAGACUGCUGAGUGUACCUUAUUGUACUUGCUCUUAAUUUCGCUGUCGCUCGUUGCGGCCGCCUCCUUGAUUCCUGCACAACGCUCGGCCUCUCUUCUCCCUCAUUAUUCUUCUCUCCCGACGGUAGCGCAUUCAAUGGACCAGCUGAUCCACGGGUUUUUUUUUUGUCCAAUCGGAGAGGAAGUAGAUGAUCAUCCAUUGGGGAACAACCUUGUGUCACAGAUCACUCCGAGAUUGAACGGCCUAGAUCAAUCAAGAAAAGAGGGUUAGAUGGAGGCAAACAUUGUUUGCAAUCAGAAUACUCGAGCUCCUAUUAGUUCUUCGCGCCAUGGACGCCCAACACUUCAUCUUCUCCCUCUGGUUUUCCUCUUGUUCUCCCUAUGUUCUUCACCAUGGCAGGGCUGGAUUUGAACGAGCCAAUCAAUUGGGAUGAACUGGAUGACUUCGACGGAGAAGCUCGUGAACUUGCUGGCGAUUUCUUUUUUCAGGUGGAGAGCGACGAAGACGAGGAUGGCGAUGAUGAACACCGAGAACAGAUGAUGAACUCGUCUGUGGAGGGGAACGGCUGAGGACGACGUAGUCUCGGACUCACUAGUUUCCGAGCAGCCCAGAGGCGGAACGCGGGCUAGUCGGGCAACGCCGAGCUUGCCCGUGGCUCAUUCUUCGUGGGCGAGUCGAGCAACGCCGAGCUUGGCCGUGGCUCUUUCUUCGCCGGCGAGUCGAGCAGCGCCGGGCUCUUUCUAUUUGAUUCUUCUAAUAUGGAUUUGGUCCAAGAUCUGAUUUGCUUCUGUUUGAUACUUCCAAUAUGGUUUUGAUUCCAGUCUGAUUUGCUUCCA
Long non-coding RNA from Lolium perenne, 1214 nucleotides. RefSeq lists it as uncharacterized. Lineage: Eukaryota; Viridiplantae; Streptophyta; Magnoliopsida; Poales; Poaceae. The record is from RefSeq and is a predicted model, not a curated record.